RNAcentral lists this ribosomal RNA (433 nucleotides) under uncultured bacterium. RNAcentral's name for it is "partial 16S ribosomal RNA". It matches the Rfam family "Bacterial small subunit ribosomal RNA", at positions 29 to 507 of the family's 1533-position model. The record is from RNAcentral.
AACGAACGCUGGCGGCAUGCCUAACACAUGCAAGUCGAACGAGACCUUCGGGUCUAGUGGCGCACGGGUGCGUAACGCGUGGGAACCUGCCCUUAGGUUCGGAAUAACUCCCCGAAAGGGGUUCUAAUACCGGAUAAUGUCUUCGGACCAAAGAUUUAUCGCCUUUGGAUGGGCCCGCGUUGGAUUAGCUAGUUGGUAGGGUAAAACCCUACCAAGGCGACGAUCCAUAGCUGGUCUGAGAGGAUGAUCAGCCACACUGGGACUGAGACACGGCCCAGACUCCUACGGGAGGAAGCAGUGGGGAAUAUUGGACAAUGGGCGAAAGACUGAGCCAGCAAUGCCGCGUGAGUGAUGAAGGCCUUAGGGUUGUAAAGCUCUUUUAACCGGGAUGAUAAUGACAGUACCGGGAGAAUAAGCUCCGGCUAACUCCGUG